AGAAUCAACGCUGGCGGCGUGCCUAACACAUGCAAGUCGAACGAGAAAGUGGAGCAAUCCAUGAGUAAAGUGGCGCACGGGUGAGUAACACGUGACUAACCUACCUUUUAGUGGGGGAUAACCUAGGGAAACCUGGGCUAAUACCGCAUAACACUUACGAGUCAAAGCAGCAAUGCGCUGAAAGAGGGGGUCGCGGCCGAUUAGCUUGUUGGUGAGGUAACGGCUCACCAAGGCUUCGACGGGUAGCUGGCCUGAGAGGACGAUCAGCCACACUGGGACUGAGACACGGCCCAGACUCCUACGGGAGGCAGC
Molecule: ribosomal RNA, 312 nt
Filed under: uncultured prokaryote
Description: bacterial SSU rRNA
Rfam family: Bacterial small subunit ribosomal RNA
Source: RNAcentral